RNAcentral lists this unclassified non-coding RNA (1093 nucleotides) under Cenococcum geophilum. Its description in RNAcentral is "partial contains ITS1, 5.8S rRNA and ITS2". The stretch from base 730 to 883 matches the Rfam family "5.8S ribosomal RNA". The record is from RNAcentral. Lineage: Eukaryota; Fungi; Ascomycota; Dothideomycetes; Gloniales; Gloniaceae.
UAGAGGAAGUAAAAGUCGUAACAAGGUUUCCGUAGAACAAGUCUUGCAGGAAUGAUUCCUUCCGCAGUGUACACUUGUAGAAGCCUUUGCAGCCACGCAAGUGGUAGAUCUAAGCGACUUUAAAUAAUUCCAAGAUCGCUAUGCAAGUCGGCCCACGCAUGUGGUGCCGGCGACACUUUCGAAUUGACGGGGACGCCCUAAAGCCUGUCGCACCAACUCUGUGCGGGAAACCGCUGGAGGGCCCGUGCUAACCACACGGGAUGGUAACAGAUGACAUGGAUAUUUUCACGCCUUUGUGGAUACUAUGGGCAAUCCGCAGCGAAGCCUCUAAGUCCGGCCGCCGGAUAUGAGGAACGUUCACAGACUAAGUGGAAGUGGGUGGAGCGUUUGCCGCUCUGCUUAAGAUAUAGUCGGUCCCUUUGGGAAACCAAGGGGGUGAGUACACUGCUUGAAAUUUAAACACGAACGUGCGUAGUUAAGGUACGCUUUUCUCUCCCCGGUCUCGGAGAGCGCUCAUGUUAAAAUUUCGAGACUGUCAGUUUCACAGCUCUCAAAAUGUUCCGUAGGUGAACCUGCGGAAGGAUCAUUAUAGAAAGUAAACGCGGGUCAAACCGCGAACUUUUAAACCUUUGACGAUUGACUCAUGUUGCCUCGGCGGGCUCGCCCGCCAGAGGAUACAUCAAAACUCUUGUUUUAACGGUGUUGUCUGAGCUACAAGCAACGAAUCAAAACUUUCAACAACGGAUCUCUUGGUUCUGGCAUCGAUGAAGAACGCAGCGAAAUGCGAUAAGUAGUGUGAAUUGCAGAAUUCAGUGAAUCAUCGAAUCUUUGAACGCACAUUGCGCCCCUUGGUAUCCCGAGGGGCAUGCCUGUUCGAGCGUCAUUUCACCACUCAAGCCUGGCUUGGUGUUGGGCGACGUCCCCUUUGGGGACGCGCCUCGAAACGCUCGGCGGCGUGGCACCGGCUUUAAGCGUAGCAGAAUCUUUCGCUUCGAAAGUCGGGGCCCCGUUUGCCGGAAGACCUACUCGCAAGGUUGACCUCGGAUCAGGCAGGGAUACCCGCUGAACUUAAGCAUAUCAAUAAGCGGAGGAA